Small nucleolar RNA from Drosophila melanogaster (fruit fly), 77 nucleotides. NCBI's taxonomy places the organism in Eukaryota, Metazoa, Arthropoda, Insecta, Diptera, Drosophilidae. The record is from Ensembl.
AUUUAAAUGAUGUUUCCAACUUAUAACUUUCACAAUGAUAUUUGAAUACAACAUGAUAGUAACUUUAAUCUGAUAAA